This 212-nucleotide long non-coding RNA is filed under the name Elaeis guineensis (African oil palm). RNAcentral describes it as "long non-coding RNA (EGUI_LNC061351)". The record is from RNAcentral. Lineage: Eukaryota; Viridiplantae; Streptophyta; Magnoliopsida; Arecales; Arecaceae.
UCCGCUGCACAUCCGUGUGACUACCCACAUCCGCUUUCCUGCAUGAAGCCAGCACCCUUUUGAACCCACGUGUGCUCACCAGUUACCAUGCUCGGUCCCGUUAUCGUCCAGGCCGUGAAGACUGUGCAUCAGGCCUGUUUGAAUUCCGCAUCCUGUUCCCUACUGGCUUGCUGCAUUUAAAAGGAAAUGCAUGAGAAAAGAAGGUUUUCCAC